This 608-nucleotide long non-coding RNA is filed under the name Hordeum vulgare. RNAcentral describes it as "long non-coding RNA (HVUL_LNC006517)". The record is from RNAcentral. Lineage: Eukaryota; Viridiplantae; Streptophyta; Magnoliopsida; Poales; Poaceae.
UUACCAUAAUUAUGAAAUAAGCUAAUUACUCCAGUUCGUAGCAGAUAUUCCUUUUAGCAUAUUACCCAGUUCUCUCUACAAUAAUGGGAGAUUCCAAGCAAGAGAUAAUUUGAGAGAUAAAAACAAAUACACCCUGGCAGAUCACCAAGCCCUUGGCACCAAAUAAGCAAAUGCUUCGGCACAAUUGCAAACAUCCCUAGCGACAAUAAGAUAUGACUGACGAUGCUGAAGUUCCAAAAAUGACCAAGCACACUCACACACCAACCCUACGCAUGCAAGGGCAUUUUGUAUGAAUAUCUGGUCGUGCCAACUCUUUGACCUGUACAGUUUUAUCCAAACUGCUCAAGAAUAUUUUGUUACACUUAACUGCUCAAGAAUAUUUUGUUACACUUAACUGCUCAAGAUGUGUAGACCCUUCUAGUGAAAACAGGGGGAAUAUGGCAUGUAUGCCCAAAGAACUCAAUAGCAACCACUCAAAGGACAUGAUGUUUUUGCACCCCCAGCUCAGCUCGGGUGAACAGUAAAUUCGAAAAAUAUUGUAAAAAUAUUCAAAAAAAUCUGUUUUUUUAGAAAACUUUGACAAAUGUUCUAAGUGUCCAGAAAUUUCA